AGGACGAGAAGAAGAAGAAGAAAGAAAAGAGAGCGAAAUGGAUGCGUGUGUGUGAUCCGUAAUCCUCUUCCCUCACUUCCCCUCACUCAUUCUUUUUUUUUUUGU
Molecule: non-coding RNA, 105 nt
Filed under: Platyophrya macrostoma
Lineage: Eukaryota; Ciliophora; Colpodea; Cyrtolophosidida; Platyophryidae
Source: RNAcentral